Molecule: long non-coding RNA, 443 nt
Filed under: Gossypium barbadense (sea-island cotton)
Lineage: Eukaryota; Viridiplantae; Streptophyta; Magnoliopsida; Malvales; Malvaceae
Description: long non-coding RNA (GBAR_LNC013777)
Source: RNAcentral
UGAAAAGUUCUAACAUCCUUAUUAGAACAAUUUGCAAUUAAAGUUACAGUAAUUGAAGACAUCACCACUCUCAAGCUGGAUGAGCUGAUGAGUUCUACAGGAGGCUAAGGUAACAAGUUACAACGGAAAAAGAACAUAGCUCUCAAUGUUCAGCAGGUUGUUCUAACUGAAAAGCAAAAUGGUGAGGUCAUGGAUGAAAUAAAGGAAUAAAUAACAUUACUCUCAAAGAACUUCAACAAAGCCCGAGACCAAAUAGUAGUUUGGAUCCAGUGGCAACAAUAAGAAAAUGCAACCAAAGAGGAAAUAAGAAUGUAUCAACACCAAAAGAAAGCAGAAAUCUCUGGUAGUGACAAGGAAUGAUGAAGAAACUGAAGGAGAUUAUUUCGACUCCAAUGAGGAAAUAAGCAAUUAUGUUGCUUUGAUUGCAGCUGCUCCAGUUGAAG